UUUUGUUUUCCUAAACGCUUUCGGGCGGCGGAGCCCGGUGUUCGGACGCGGGUCUGCGGGCCUGGGUGCUUGGUGCAGCGGGAAGCAGGGUUUGGGGGACAGCUCCUCUUUUGGGGGGGGGGGGGUUGCGCGCGGUAAUUGCAAGUUUGUUAGAAGCCGGGCUAGCGAGUCGAGUUCAGGUCCGAAGCUCCCGCACUCCUCACCGGGCUGGAGCAGGGUCCCGGACUGGGCUGUAUCCACAGCCCGGUGACCCCAGGUGCCAAGGCCGCGGGGGACCCGGGAGGUUUGGCGGGGGCGGGGAGCGCCCGCAGAGUUACUGCGGAGCCCCGUUUGUCCCAUAGAACGGUCAGGGGAUACGAAGGGAGGGGAUCAUCCUCGGGGCUUCUCCAACUCUCGGCCUGAGAGGGAGGACGCCCUGGGACCGGUGUCCGAGAGCGGCCGCAGGGCCACGGCCAUUCUCGCCUCGGGCUGAUUGGACGUGUGCUAAGCAGUCCCACCCGGUGGCCGUCGGCGGGGAGGAAGGAGCGCGCUGAGACACGGCGCGAGUGGUUUAGACACCCGGCUCCCGCUCAGCCUGCCUGACACGCCGUCUCCUGCAAGCAGUUCCGUGUCGGCCCCUCGGUGAAUUCCACUGUGCACAUCGCUGGGACUUCUAAUAUUUGCCUGCUAGCGAGGCAUCAUCAAACAGCUUUCUUACGUGGUACAGAGGUAUUUAGCGCGCUGCAUCCUGAGCCCCCCGGGCUCUCCACCACGCAGUCGCCUCGCAGCCCCAAGGCUUGGUCAGUUGGGACACACACGCGCGCGCACACACACACGCGCACACACACACAACUGUGAGUUAAGUGAACCGCAGCCACCACUCGGUGCUGAAGCUCCUCGAUGUUGUGUAAGGCUCAAAGGGAUGUGCUGUGUGUCGAUGAUGGAUAGGACCCUAGAAUUUGGAAAACACCCUGGAGGUAGUUCUGAACCACCAGUGAUCCUUCCUGUCCUGAGUAGAAGAAGCCUGCGCCUAGCAGCAGGACCUGACCUUAUUUUCUGGUUAAGGGAAUGGAAAUCUGCCAGUCUUCAGGCUCCUGUCCCCUUUGUCAAGCCCCGAAUCACGCGAGUCUCUUUCCCCCAUUUCCCCCUCUGAGCGCGCUUCUCGGAGGCAGAUAGCCUGUGGUCUCUGCUCUCCGCUCGUUGACGGGACCAGCAGUCAAUGCCGAGUUGUGUUAACUGGACUGUCCGUUAGGAGCCAGCGAUGCCAAGGCGACGCGGCUCACAUCUGCCCUAAUGAAUUUGAGAAUUCUUUUUUGUUUUAAACCACGCAUGCCAAGUUUCAUCCCGAAGAGCAAUUUCUCAUUAAAAACAGUUGAGUUACAAACUGCUUAGAAAUGUGGUUUAUAAUGGACGCGCCAACAGACUGUUAAUUAUAGCAUUUCUUCCAUAACACUUUGGGACCUGGAAUUCACAUUAACCUGAAUGAGCUUUCCUCGUUAUCACAUGUUUCUCCCUAUAGCAUUCAUUUUGAAAAUGGGAACAUUAUAUUGCUCUGUGCUUGGAUGUUCAUGGUGCAGCAGAAAAGACCAGAAGGAGGAAAAUGCCAGAAGGCAACCCCCUUGCUCUUUCGUGACAGGAGGUACCAGUGUUUUUCCAGACCUCUAUGGUUUGACCUAUGGAAAGUGUGCCUUCCUUGAUGAAUGAUUUUAAAGCUAUCUUCUAAAAGCUAUCUUCAGAUUUCCAUUUUCCUCAUGAAAAAUCAUCGUUUAUACAUAUUUAUAACACCAAAGGUCGUGAAGCCAGGCUUACUAUUAAUGCUUUUCUGUUUGUCCAUUUUUCACUUUGGGGUUUUAAAAUGCAUCUGUGUUAGCCAUAUUGGAUUUCAGUCCUGAGUUCUGUGCUUGUAUGAAACUCUUGAAAAGAACUCCUAAUUAAAGUAAGGCCAUGGUUGGUUGAGAAGCUUUCCUAGUGGCCAAGAAAAUAUAAAGUAUUUUGAGUGACUACAUAGACCUACAAAUGAUAUGUAUCUGAUCCACACCAGUGACAACAUGAGCCUUCUCCAUAAAAUGCCUUUCCACUGAAGGCUUUGAGAACCUAUUUGAGAGUUACCUAGCCAGAAAAAUAGGGUGUGUGUGUGUGUUUCUCAUGUUUGGGAUUUAUUUCUGGCCAUAAAUGCAUCAGAAUUUAUCCUGACUGGCAGACUCUGUCAGCGUGUGCAACAGCCAGGGACAUCAUUCCGGCUAAUAGGAAGGCCUUAUUCCCACUCCAUUUUAAGAAACUUUGCCACAUUUCACAGGAGAAGAUGUUUUUCAAUGCCAGGG
This 2300-nucleotide long non-coding RNA is filed under the name Suricata suricatta (meerkat). RNAcentral's name for it is "lncRNA (ENSSSUG00005023014.1)". The record is from RNAcentral. Lineage: Eukaryota; Metazoa; Chordata; Mammalia; Carnivora; Herpestidae.